Molecule: long non-coding RNA, 754 nt
Organism: Sapajus apella (tufted capuchin)
Lineage: Eukaryota; Metazoa; Chordata; Mammalia; Primates; Cebidae
Exons: 2
Source: RefSeq, a predicted model, not a curated record
UUUAUAUAUGAUUCUUAUAUUGACCUGAGUUAUUUUAUAUUCUUUUAUACUUAAAAUAUUAUUACUUAAUGCAAGUUGCACUUUUAUAACUAGGACUUGAUUGUGCUUUAAAAAUUAAAUGAUCUGAAGAAAUUUUCUUCUCUAAAAUUAAUUUACAUGUAGUUGAAUAUCCUUGACUUCAAUGGACAGAAUUGUUCUCAUAGUUGCUAAACUAAAGACCUUUGUAAAUCUAGAGGUAAAAAAGUAUAAGUAAUUGAGAAUCAGCAUGUGUAGAAAACAACAGAUUUCAGAUAUUUUAAUCUUGAAUCAUAUGCAGUAUUUGAAGAGUUUGUGAAUAUGAAAUUAAAUCUCCUGCUUUGGUGUGCUAAUAAAUUGCACUGGGUGAACAUUAUUUUAGUUACUUGUAUUCUAAUGAAUACUAAACUGUUAUAAAUUGCAAUGAUUAUGUAAUCCAGUAUAAUUUGGUUUAUGACCUUACUCUGUUAAGGAAAAAAAAAACCCCACAGUACUGUGAUAGUUAACUCCUUUUUAACAUAGGCUUUCAAUAAAAAUUAAGCAAAAGAAUUAUUUAAAAUUAUGGUCCUGCAUAGAUUGUAUGAGAAAUCUAAAGUUUAACCUUUCCAUCAGAUUGCCUGUUCUUUCACACUUUUUCUAGGUCUUUCCCCUUAUACCUUUCCUCUUACCAGCAACUUCAUUCUUUCUCUCUCCAGUCCUUCCCUUUCAGCUCUAAGGCAUACACAGAUCUUCUCAUUCU